UUGUAGUGGAACGACAGCAACAAAAAAAGCCCCUGACUCGUGGGAGAGAAAAGAAAGAGGCGUUUUUCACGCGCGUCCAUGUGAAGAGACCACCAAACAGGCUUUGUAUCUCCAAAGAAAGAGCAGCAAAUGUGGAGCAAACUCAAAACGACCCUGAGCUCCAGUCAUCCAUGUAAAUGGCUACACAAGCAACAUGUUAGCACCUCUUCUCCCCACUACCCAAUGUUGAGCUGAGUCCGCUCAGAGAGGUUGCUCUGGCAUUUCCGCUCCAGACCAUCAAACUUUAAAGCAUCAUGAAGACCCCGAGCCAAGCCUGGAAAAGUGUGUCCUUUCUGGUCCAGCACCUGCCUGUGUGCUCACCUCCAUAAACUGCUGACUUCUAAGAGCUACUCACAGAGUGU
Gorilla gorilla gorilla (western lowland gorilla) is the source of this 401-nucleotide long non-coding RNA. RefSeq lists it as uncharacterized. The transcript is spliced from 3 exons. Lineage: Eukaryota; Metazoa; Chordata; Mammalia; Primates; Hominidae. The record is from RefSeq and is a predicted model, not a curated record.